This 127-nucleotide ribosomal RNA is filed under the name uncultured bacterium. Its description in RNAcentral is "partial 16S ribosomal RNA". It matches the Rfam family "Bacterial small subunit ribosomal RNA", at positions 355 to 498 of the family's 1533-position model. The record is from RNAcentral.
CAAGGAAUUUUGCGCAAUGGGCGAAAGCCUNACGCAACGACGCCGCGUGGGGGAUGAAGGCCCUCGGGUUGUAAACCCCUUUUCUCGAGGAAGAACUAUGACGGUACUCGGGGAAUAAGUCUUGGCU